RNAcentral lists this ribosomal RNA (443 nucleotides) under uncultured bacterium. Its description in RNAcentral is "partial 16S ribosomal RNA". It matches the Rfam family "Bacterial small subunit ribosomal RNA", at positions 338 to 795 of the family's 1533-position model. The record is from RNAcentral.
CCUACGGGAGGCAGCAGUGGGGAAUAUUGGGCAAUGGGCGCAAGCCUGACCCAGCAACGCCGCGUGAAGGAAGAAGGCUUUCGGGUUGUAAACUUCUUUUCUGAGGGACGAAGAAAGUGACGGUACCUCAGGAAUAAGCCACGGCGAACUACGUGACAGCAGCCGCGGUAAUACGUAGGUGGCAAGCGUUAUCCGGAUUUAUUGGGGGGAAAGGGCGGGUAGGCGGGAAAGAAAGUCCGAUGUGAAAACGCAGGGCUCAAACCUGAGCCUGCAUUUGAAACUGUUUUUCUUGAGUGCUGGAGAGGCAAGCGGAAUUCCGUGUGUAGCGGUGAAAUGCGUAGAUAUACGGAGGAACACCAGUGGCGAAGGCGGAUUGCUGGACAGUAACUGACGCUGAGGCGCGAAAGCGUGGGGAGCAAACAGGAUUAGAUACCCUUGUAGUC